Molecule: ribosomal RNA, 497 nt
Filed under: uncultured bacterium
Lineage: Bacteria
Description: partial 16S ribosomal RNA
Rfam family: Bacterial small subunit ribosomal RNA
Source: RNAcentral
GAUGAACGCUGGCGGCGUGCCUAAUACAUGCAAGUCGAGCGAACGGACGAGAAGCUUGCUUUUCUGAUGUUAGCGGCGGACGGGUGAGUAACACGUGGAUAACCUACCUAUAAGACUGGGAUAACUUCGGGAAACCGGAGCUAAUACCGGAUAAUAUUUUGAACCGCAUGGUUCAAAAGUGAAAGACGGUCUUGCUGUCACUUAUAGAUGGAUCCGCGCUGCAUUAGCUAGUUGGUAAGGUAACGGCUUACCAAGGCAACGAUGCAUAGCCGACCUGAGAGGAUGAUCGGCCACACUGGAACUGAGACACGGUCCAGACUCCUACGGGAGGCAGCAGUAGGGAAUCUUCCGCAAUGGGCGAAAGCCUGACGGAGCAACGCCGCGUGAGUGAUGAAGGUCUUCGGAUCGUAAAACUCUGUUAUUAGGGAAGAACAUAUGUGUAAGUAACUGUGCACAUCUUGACGGUACCUAAUCAGAAAGCCACGGCUAACUACGCG